UUACUCCAACAAUUAAUCCACACAAAUGGUCAACCGAAUAAUUUCUAGUCAUCUCUCCUCCUUCCAGGCUUUUUCUUCUUUGGACUAUAUGGCAUGUUACUUUCAUUGAAAGGGGAAUCACCUGGUCCCAACAUACAUGGCAAGUCAAGAAAAGCCAUUGUAACUUGUCCACACUGCAAACGAAACAUUGCUCAGAUCUUGUCCCCUGGACCUUGGAGGACUUUGUGUGGAUGAUCAGGGCCUACCAAAGCAAGGUUUCUCAAACAACUGUGGGGUGUUUGUUUUGAUGGAAAACAUGCAGCAAAUUAGGCGGCGGUGGUGCCUAGUUUUCCUGCAGAACUUUCCCAUGCCGUCUGAAGAAGAGCGGUUGAAAGAUCGAAAAAGGCGGUGAAAUCAAAACGCACUACAGGAUGAUGUAGAUGUCCCCCCAUGAAGUCACAUCAGCAUCCAGCUCUGCAGGACCAGGAAGCAGAUAUUCUUCUAAGGGACACUUUAGAGGCAGCAAGGUGGUGCGAACGACAAACAUUUAAAGCCACUGUUUCCCUCAGUGCAAUUGGGAUGGACGUGGAAGACCUCAUUAUAAUCCUUAAAGAACUACGGUUGUAUGAUGGCUUGGAUGAAGAGGAACUUAUUCUCCAAGGAACCAUUCAUGUUACAGAAAGAUUGAGAUGUUCUAUGUGGAGGCAGUUGACAAGAAAAUGACUCUUUUCCUCUUCUGAGGAGCAGGAGUGAAGCCAUUUUUGAAUAGUGGCCAAACCUUGUUUUUGUCUGCUGUGUAAAUUGUGUUGUUGUUUACAUCUUUACUAGAAGUCACCCGAGUCUCUGAUCUCUUUACUGGAGCUGGUAUAACUUAGUGUACAAAGCACAUUCAGCUUGUCAGUAUGUCUAUAUGGUAUAGUCUGUCUCCAUUCUCAUGAGGAAAGUAAAUAGCAUUAUAAAUCAGGAUAGGUAGUAACUGUAUAUGCUCAAUGGAAUAUAAUUCCAAGUUAAAAUUGUUGAUAAAUGUUAACAGUACAUGACAUACUUAAGUCUGUUCACAACAAGAUCCGUAGCUUGUCUCAUAGCAUGAAGCAAAACGUGUUAACACAUCUGCUGGUACCACUUUAUAAUAUUUCUUACGAUCUUCAAAUAUGAAAUAAGCUUGAAUUCAAUGUGUGCCUUGCGCAAACGUGUGUGACUGUCAUAUCAGAUGGACAAAAAGGUGGGCGGGGUCAAACAUUUGACUCAGUCCACAUUGCAGCCAGGGAUACUUGCAUAUUUUGGUGUGAAGUUCUCCAUGUGUUAUUCAACCAGACCCAUGCCAUCUCCUUCUAGGUAUUGUUCCUGUAGAUACACUCCAUUUAAAUUGAUAGAUUCUUUAAGCAGCAGCAAUGAAAUGUGUAACAAUAUGCUGGAAAAAUUAACAUGCACCCUCAAAAGACGUGGUUAGGUCUAUGCGGGGAACUUGCUGACAUGGAGAGAAUUACAUCAAUCUUGCAACAAUCACACACCAUCCAGAAGGCAAGGUCAGUACAGGUGCAUCAAAGCUGGGACAGAGAGAUUGAAAAGGAGCUAUCUCAAGACCAUCACUGUUAAACAGCCAUCACUAACACAGGGGCUGCUGCCUACAUACAUGACAUCAUUGGCCACUUUAAUGUUCACAUAGCUCAACUGUAUUUUAUACAAUUUAUUGCAUCUUACCUACACCGCUCAGUCAUUGCUCAUCCAUAUAUUCCAUUACUUAGAUGUGUGUAUUAGGUAGUUGUGGAAUUGUUAGAUAUUACUGCACUAUAAGCAUUUCGCUACACUCGCAAUAACAUCUGCUAACAAUGUGUAUGUGACCAAUGACAUUUGUUUUGAAGGUGUCUAGUCAGAGUUCUUGAUAUAUCGUACUGGUCUUAUUCUGUAAUUUGAGGUUGUUUUUCGGCUCUAUCCAAAUUGUAUUCUUAUUAAGACUCUUGAAAUAUUUGCUCUAUACAGCAAAAAUGUACACUUAACAUGUGAAUGUAAUUACACUAUUUUUUUAAAGACAGCAAAGAUGUGUAUAUGGUAUAUGCUCUUGAAUAAAAAUGUGGUAGAAAAUAAUUUACAGCUGUUUAAGUGGCUGAUGUAUUGUUCCAUGAACAGAC
Oncorhynchus mykiss (rainbow trout) is the source of this 2108-nucleotide non-coding RNA. The record is from RefSeq and is a predicted model, not a curated record. NCBI's taxonomy places the organism in Eukaryota, Metazoa, Chordata, Actinopteri, Salmoniformes, Salmonidae.